CUCUGCUCAGAGCAAACCAGGGGGAACCCUGGGACGCAGAGCAACGGGACUAAAGAAGAAAGACAAGCUUGAAGAUGAGGGCUUAGUCAACCUUCCAAAGUCAGCCGGGCCGCCAGA
RNAcentral lists this non-coding RNA (117 nucleotides) under Nitrospirota bacterium. Its description in RNAcentral is "Nitrospirae bacterium c-di-GMP sequence". It matches the Rfam family "c-di-GMP-I riboswitch aptamer". Rfam says of the family: GEMM was predicted in a large-scale screen for bacterial structured RNA regulatory elements. The record is from RNAcentral. Lineage: Bacteria; Pseudomonadati; Nitrospirota.